CCUACGGGAGGCAGCAGUGGGGAAUAUUGGACAAUGGGCGAAAGCCUGAUCCAGCAAUGCCGCGUGAGUGAUGAAGGCCUUAGGGUUGUAAAGCUCUUUUACCAGGGAUGAUAAUGACAGUACCUGGAGAAUAAGCUCCGGCUAACUCCGUGCCAGCAGCCGCGGUAAUACGGAGGGAGCUAGCGUUGUUCGGAAUUACUGGGCGUAAAGCGUGCGUAGGCGGUGAUUCAAGUCAGAGGUGAAAGCCUGGAGCUCAACUCCAGAACGGCCUUUGAAACUAGAUCGCUAGAAUUAUGGAGAGGUAAGUGGAAUUCCGAGUGUAGAGGUGAAAUUCGUAGAUAUUCGGAAGAACACCAGUGGCGAAGGCGACUUACUGGACAUAUAUUGACGCUGAGGUACGAAAGCGUGGGGAGCAAACAGGAUUAGAUACCCUGGUAGUCCACGCCGUAAACGAUGAUAACUAGCUGUUCGGGCUCUCAGAGCUUGAGUGGCGCAGCUACGCAUUAAGUUAUACCGCCGUGGGAGGUACGGUCGCGAGAGUAAACUACGAAGAAGUAGACGCGUGAGACGUGCGACGACGACGACGAGGGAGAGG
RNAcentral lists this ribosomal RNA (595 nucleotides) under uncultured bacterium. Its description in RNAcentral is "bacterial SSU rRNA". The stretch from base 1 to 518 matches the Rfam family "Bacterial small subunit ribosomal RNA", at positions 338 to 873 of the family's 1533-position model. The record is from RNAcentral.